Hevea brasiliensis (rubber tree) is the source of this 526-nucleotide long non-coding RNA. RefSeq lists it as uncharacterized. The record is from RefSeq and is a predicted model, not a curated record. Lineage: Eukaryota; Viridiplantae; Streptophyta; Magnoliopsida; Malpighiales; Euphorbiaceae. The transcript has 3 exons.
AACACCCCUGAUUUUUUUUAUAUAUUAUUAUUGGGCUUCGUGUAGGUAUCCUCAAUUCGCGGAAAUUCGACAGUUGUCCGGAUUUGUGAAUUUCCGGCCAGACAGACCAGCUACCGGAAAAGUCUCCGAAUUGGAUCGAGGUUUUGGCUAUCCCACCAUUGUCAGGCAUCCCGAGCGCGUUCCCGAAGUCGGAAUCGGUAAAGGUGAGCCGGGACAGCCUUCUUCCUCCGCCCAGCCGCCUCAGUGACCAUCGUCAAGUCUGCCACAGGAGGAUAUUUUUUUGAGGUUAACCUGCUUUCUCCCUCGCAGGUCGAUUACUAUGUUCGUAUAAAUUUGUUUAAUCUUAGAAUUUCCGCAUGUGUUAGAAAUGUUUAUUUGAUUUGGGUCUGUAAACUAAAUUAUUAUUUUGGGACCUGUAAACUUAAUAUGCUAUGCAUGUUUGAUGGAUUGGAUGAGGGAGCUGAGCUCCCAUUUAUUAUUAUGUUGAUGAGUAUGUGGAGGGUGAGCUGAGCUCCCCAAUUGACUA